RNAcentral lists this ribosomal RNA (429 nucleotides) under Bacillota bacterium. RNAcentral describes it as "Firmicutes bacterium partial 16S ribosomal RNA". It matches the Rfam family "Bacterial small subunit ribosomal RNA", at positions 355 to 776 of the family's 1533-position model. Lineage: Bacteria; Bacillati; Bacillota. The record is from RNAcentral.
UAGGGAAUCUUCGGCAAUGGACGGAAGUCUGACCGAGCAACGCCGCGUGAGUGAAGAAGGUUUUCGGAUCGUAAAGCUCUGUUGUUAGAGAAGAACGUUGGUAGGAGUGGAAAAUCUACCAAGUGACGGUAACUAACCAGAAAGGGACGGCUAACUACGUGCCAGCAGCCGCGGUAAUACGUAGGUCCCGAGCGUUGUCCGGAUUUAUUGGGCGUAAAGCGAGCGCAGGCGGUUCUUUAAGUCUGAAGUUAAAGGCAGUGGCUUAACCACUGUACGCUUUGGAAACUGGAGGACUUGAGUGCAGAAGGGGAGAGUGGAAUUCCAUGUGUAGCGGUGAAAUGCGUAGAUAUAUGGAGGAACACCGGUGGCGAAAGCGGCUCUCUGGUCUGUAACUGACGCUGAGGCUCGAAAGCGUGGGGAGCAAACAGG